CAGUGAUAGGAGUUAAACCAAGGAGCUUCAAGUUAUAGGAUUGGAUCAGACUCUUUCUAUUUCCUAUUCCUAAGGUGAAAUGGGUAGCAAUGGGAUAAUAUUCCUUUAAUCUAUUGACAAUAAAAAAGGAGUUAGGUGAGGAAUGCAACCUAAGCGAGUAGUUGCUAAACAUGUACAAUAGUGUCCUAAACUAUCUUAUCAAACUGAGGAAAGAAGCUGGUAAAUAAUAAGUUGAUUGAAGUCGAUUUAAUGGUUUAUAUAGGUAUGAUAAUUAAAAAUAAUAAUUGAUGAUGUAUAGAGACUUUAGGUUAGAUAGUAUAGAUGGUGGAGUGGUAGUCUGGAUUAUUAUAAGGAAUCAGACAAAUAUUUUAGUGUG
This 376-nucleotide unclassified non-coding RNA is filed under the name Hevea brasiliensis (rubber tree). The record is from RNAcentral. Lineage: Eukaryota; Viridiplantae; Streptophyta; Magnoliopsida; Malpighiales; Euphorbiaceae.